UGGGCCCGUACGACGUGUCGACGGAGAACGGCACUGGCGUGACGCCGGUCGUGAUAUUGGUCCGUCUGUACAGGAUCGCCGGAGCUCCAAGUACUGGCUUUGACGAACGGCGCUUGGGGUAAAAAGAAAAAGUAAUUCUCAGAGACGCUAUUUUCCCCUCGAUUCGUGGCCGGAGAGGGUUGUACUCAUUGCGACGGCGGAGGCGACCGGGGAUGGGUUCGAGUUCUUAUCAGAUCCGGUUGAUAGAUUCCCUGUGCUGGCGUUGACGGCGGUGACUACGUGCCACCGGCGCAGCCCGCUCCAGAUCUGCUGGAUAUAGCAGGCGAGUCUAGCAUUGAUGAUGUGGGCGACCGGCCGCCGGCGCUCCAAGUAGAACUGAACGGCGUUUGCUCGAGCAUUAGCUUGUUGGUGCCGGACUUAGAACAGUGAACAGGCAAGGACGACCGGCAAGCACCGGCGAGGAAGAAAGAGGGCUCGUGUUGCACGGCCGCCUACAGAACGGCCACCAUGCAUGCAUUGGCAGAGUGUGCACAUUCAGGGGAUACGCAGAGAAGCAUGCUGAAACUGUGGAGAAAACAUCAUGUUGAAUGGAGACACCAAUAUGGUAACCAUCUUUCAUCUUCUUUGAUCUCAGGUCACCAGUUUGGCGAAUUCUUUGGUAGUUGCGACUCCCGUCCAAGGUCAAGAUUUUUUUGCUGGAUGCUUUGCAUGGGAUCAUGCCGCUGAAAUCUAUCCUUGCAAAUAGACACAUUGGUACUGAAGGUCACUGCCCAAUCUGUAACUUGGGCGCUGAGGAUGUUAAACACUUGCUUUUUGAGUGUACGCCUGCAGUGGAAUUAUGGAAAUUGCAUGUUGAUACCAUCAUCUUUGAUGUGAUGCACCUAAUGUUACUCUUCCA
Triticum aestivum (bread wheat) is the source of this 898-nucleotide long non-coding RNA. RefSeq lists it as uncharacterized. The record is from RefSeq and is a predicted model, not a curated record. NCBI's taxonomy places the organism in Eukaryota, Viridiplantae, Streptophyta, Magnoliopsida, Poales, Poaceae. The transcript is spliced from 3 exons.